This 1367-nucleotide ribosomal RNA is filed under the name uncultured bacterium. RNAcentral's name for it is "16S ribosomal RNA". It matches the Rfam family "Bacterial small subunit ribosomal RNA", at positions 33 to 1381 of the family's 1533-position model. The record is from RNAcentral.
ACGCUGGCGGCGUGCCUAAUACAUGCAAGUCGAGCGAACGGACGAGAAGCUUGCUUCUCUGAUGUUAGCGGCGGACGGGUGAGUAACACGUGGAUAACCUACCUAUAAGACUGGGAUAACUUCGGGAAACCGGAGCUAAUACCGGAUAAUAUUUUGAACCGCAUGGUUCAAAAGUGAAAGACGGUCUUGCUGUCACUUAUAGAUGGAUCCGCGCUGCAUUAGCUAGUUGGUAAGGUAACGGCUUACCAAGGCAACGAUGCAUAGCCGACCUGAGAGGGUGAUCGGCCACACUGGAACUGAGACACGGUCCAGACUCCUACGGGAGGCAGCAGUAGGGAAUCUUCCGCAAUGGGCGAAAGCCUGACGGAGCAACGCCGCGUGAGUGAUGAAGGUCUUCGGAUCGUAAAACUCUGUUAUUAGGGAAGAACAUAUGUGUAAGUAACUGUGCACAUCUUGACGGUACCUAAUCAGAAAGCCACGGCUAACUACGUGCCAGCAGCCGCGGUAAUACGUAGGUGGCAAGCGUUAUCCGGAAUUAUUGGGCGUAAAGCGCGCGUAGGCGGUUUUUUAAGUCUGAUGUGAAAGCCCACGGCUCACCCGUGGAGGGUCAUUGGAAACUGGAAAACUUGAGUGCAGAAGAGGAAAGUGGAAUUCCAUGUGUAGCGGUGAAAUGCGCAGAGAUAUGGAGGAACACCAGUGGCGAAGGCGACUUUCUGGUCUGUAACUGACGCUGAUGUGCGAAAGCGUGGGGAUCAAACAGGAUUAGAUACCCUGGUAGUCCACGCCGUAAACGAUGAGUGCUAAGUGUUAGGGGGUUUCCGCCCCUUAGUGCUGCAGCUAACGCAUUAAGCACUCCGCCUGGGGAGUACGACCGCAAGGUUGAAACUCAAAGGAAUUGACGGGGACCCGCACAAGCGGUGGAGCAUGUGGUUUAAUUCGAAGCAACGCGAAGAACCUUACCAAAUCUUGACAUCCUUUGACAACUCUAGAGAUAGAGCCUUCCCCUUCGGGGGACAAAGUGACAGGUGGUGCAUGGUUGUCGUCAGCUCGUGUCGUGAGAUGUUGGGUUAAGUCCCGCAACGAGCGCAACCCUUAAGCUUAGUUGCCAUCAUUAAGUUGGGCACUCUAAGUUGACUGCCGGUGACAAACCGGAGGAAGGUGGGGAUGACGUCAAAUCAUCAUGCCCCUUAUGAUUUGGGCUACACACGUGCUACAAUGGACAAUACAAAGGGCAGCGAAACCGCGAGGUCAAGCAAAUCCCAUAAAGUUGUUCUCAGUUCGGAUUGUAGUCUGCAACUCGACUACAUGAAGCUGGAAUCGCUAGUAAUCGUAGAUCAGCAUGCUACGGUGAAUACGUUCCCGGGUCU